AUGGAUGGAAAUGCAGCAGCUGAUGGGGGUGAGCCCACCUACGAUCCAAUGAAAGAUCCAACAAGGAAGCCACAACGGUCAAAUGAUCCGGGAUGGAACUAUGGAUAUUGGUUUGAGCCUCCAAAUCGGGAUCUUGUUGUGUGCGCUCUUUGUGGCAAGAUAACUUCUGGAGGGAUCAAGAGGCAUAAAGAGCAUCUUGCGGGCGUCGGGGGAGAUGCAAUUGGUUGUCCUAAGGCCACCACACAAUUGAGGAGAGAAAUGGGAACAUAUUUGGAGCAAAAUAGGAGGAUCAAGGGAGUAGUAGAUGUAGAUGAUGUUCAGGAGGUUGUGGAGGUGAGUUCAGUUGGAGCAAACAUCGCCUCUAAAAGGCCAAGCUCAGGGACAGCAGCCAAACAGAAUAAGAAAGCGUUUAUCACCAACAUGCAAGGUAAAAAGAAGUCUGUUUCUGUUGUGUCUGCCGCCAAUAGUUCCAAGCCAAUUGUUGCCAUGCUACGAAGAACACCCGAGGAUCUUGUAGAUGAAAGACGCUCUGGGUGUUCUCAAAGCACCAUGGAGUCCAGCACAAAGACUCCAGAAGAGAGGCAGUAUGUCAAUAUGCAGUGGGCAUUGUUCUUUUACGAGUGUGGCAUUCCAUUCAACGCUGCAAGUAGUAGGCAGUUUGAGGUUGCAAUUGAAGCCUCUUGUCAAUAUGGGUCAGGUUACAAGCCUCCUAGUGCACAUGAGCUGAGAGAGAAAUUGCUUAAUGAUUGUGUGAAGGAAACAGGACUUUUGAGGAGGCAACACGAGGCAGCAUGGAAAAAAUAUGGAUGCACACUCAUGUCGGAUGGCUGGUCGGAUAAAAGAGGACGCCAUUUGAUUAACUUCCUUGUUAAUAGUCCAGAGGGCACUUUCUUCUUGGAGUCGGUUGAUGCCUCAAGUGUAUAUCAUGAUGGUGAUAUGAUAGCUGAUUUGCUUGAGAAGAGAAUUCUGGAUGUUGGAAAAGAGAAUGUGGUACAAGUUAUCACCGAUAAUGGUGCUAAUUACAAGAAAGCUGGCCACCUUCUAAUGGAGAGGAUGCCUACUCUAUAUUGGAGCCCGUGUGCAUGUCAUUGCUUGGACCUAAUGUUGGAAGAUAUAGGAAAGUUGAAGGCAUUUAAGAAGCCUAUUGCAGGGGCUAGACGUGUCACAACUUUCAUCUAUAGACAUGGAAGACUUCUUAGUCUAAUGAGGAAGGCCACGGGUGGGGAUCUUGUGAGACCAGCAGCCACUCGUUUUGCCACAGCCAUCCUCACACUUAGGAGUUUGGUCAAGAACAAGGCUGCAUUGAGGAGUUUAUUUACAUCUGAAGAAUGGGUUGGAAACAAGUUAGCAAAAACACAAGUUGGCUUGAAUGUGCAAGAGAUUAUACUUUCAACGGAGUGGUGGAGCGCAAUUGAGGACUGCCUUAGAGCUUCAACUCCACUUCUUAGAGUUCUUAGAGUAGCAGAUGGUGAUGAGAAGCCUGCCAUGCUAGAGAUUAAAGCACUUAUGAUUUAUGCAAAGGAGAGGAUCAAUCUAGGUUUCCCUCAACAAAACAAGCAACCAUUGCUCAAGAAGAUCUCGGCCAUUGUUGAUAAGCGUUGGGAGAAUCAAAUGGAUCAUCCAUUGUAUGGGGCUGCUCUAUUUUUGAACCCAGGAAAGUUCUUUCCUAUUGUAAGCAGAAAUGAUGAUGCCUUAGUUGGGGAGCUUAGGAGCUGCUUUAAUGAUGUGCUUGCAAAAAUGGUACCGGAUGCCAAUGUUCGAAAAAAGAUUGAUCAACAAUCUGUGCUCUAUGAGCAACAGCGAGAAAGCUUUUCUAAUCCAUUGGCACUUGAGACCAUGAGCACAAGAAACCCUCUUGAUUGGUGGAGUUCAUUUGGUGGUCGGGCCAUUGACCUGCAAAGGUUUGCAAAGCGCAUUGUUAGUCUUUGUGCUUCAUCAUCUGGUUGUGAGAGGAAUUGGAGCACGUUUGAAUUUAUCCAUACAAAGAAAAGGAACAGAUUACAAUGGAAAAGGUUGAAUGAUCUUGUCUUUGUUUCAUACAACCGGAAGAAUAUGCAACGCUUUGAGGCUUUGGUCAUUGAGGAUUUUGAUUGGGGCAAUGAGUGGGUGGACCCAUCACUAUCACAACCUCAAGGUGCUCGAGGUUGUCCUGAAGACAAUCAAGACAUUACAUGGGAGGAUGUUGAUGUGGCUAUUGAAUUCUGUUGGGGAGAAAAGCAAGUGCAAAGAGGAUGGGGGCUCUACAACAAUCAGUUGCAAGGUGUGUAUGGCUGUAUGCCUACCAAAUUCUACUUAAUUCUGUUGCUUACAAGUCUCUAA
Molecule: ribosomal RNA, 2319 nt
Filed under: Triticum aestivum (bread wheat)
Lineage: Eukaryota; Viridiplantae; Streptophyta; Magnoliopsida; Poales; Poaceae
Description: partial small subunit ribosomal RNA
Source: RNAcentral